GAGAGUGAACGAGAGAGAGAGAGAGAGCGCGCAUUAGCCUGAACAUAUGUGAAUCUGUGUGAGUGCUUUCUGACUGUACUUUGGCGCCCAAAAUUAUCAAACGCCCAAAGCUAGUUGAUUCGAUUAGGGCUCAAAUUUUACGUUGCAAAAAGGCCCC
Molecule: long non-coding RNA, 157 nt
Organism: Drosophila navojoa
Lineage: Eukaryota; Metazoa; Arthropoda; Insecta; Diptera; Drosophilidae
Source: RefSeq, a predicted model, not a curated record